Molecule: microRNA precursor, 153 nt
Organism: Sorghum bicolor (sorghum)
Lineage: Eukaryota; Viridiplantae; Streptophyta; Magnoliopsida; Poales; Poaceae
Rfam family: MIR812 microRNA precursor family
Source: Rfam
CCCAAGUUUGACCACUCGUCUUAUUUAAAGUUUUGUACAAAAUAUUACUUUUUUUAUUGUGUAUUAGUUUAUUAAUAAAAGUUCUUCAAAAAUGACUUAAAUUUGACUAUAUUUGUACAAAUUUUUUGAAUAAGACGAGUGGUCAAACUUGGG